UGUGUUGAGGGACACCAAUGUGUAAUGU
This 28-nucleotide non-coding RNA is filed under the name Rattus norvegicus (Norway rat). Lineage: Eukaryota; Metazoa; Chordata; Mammalia; Rodentia; Muridae. The record is from RNAcentral.